GGCACGGUACGCAAAUGGAAAAGCGGCGAAGCUCAAACCUUCGUGAUCGUCUGUGGGUUCGACUCCCACCCGUGCUAC
This 78-nucleotide transfer RNA is filed under the name Symmachiella dynata. Its description in RNAcentral is "tRNA-Leu". It matches the Rfam family "tRNA". From Rfam's summary of the family: Transfer RNA (tRNA) molecules are approximately 80 nucleotides in length. Lineage: Bacteria; Pseudomonadati; Planctomycetota; Planctomycetia; Planctomycetales; Planctomycetaceae. The record is from RNAcentral.